GAAGUCUAUUUCCAGUGUGGGUUUCUAAAAGGACUCACUUGCCUGUCUUUUUCAACAGCAGAGUCAUGAGCUGUUUCUGUUUUCUUGAGCAGAAGUUUAUUGAGAGUUGCCUGGACAGUUGGACGUAGAGGGAUUUGUAUGACAAGCUUUGGCUUAAAGCCGGCAUUUGCUUGUCGGUCCUUGAGAAAACAUCAGGCACUAGGCACGUAGCAGGGCGCUUCAGGGUGUGACUUCAGAGCCUGACUGCCAGGGCUUGAAAAGCAUGAGGCAUUAUCAGUUGGCUGACAGUAGCCUAAACUUCGAAGGCAAUGGCACCCCACUCCAGUACUCUUGCCUGGAGAAUCCCAUGGACGGAGAAGCCUGGUGGGCUGCAGUCCAUGGGGUCGCUAAGAGUCAGACAUGACUGAGCGACUUCACUUUCAUUUUUCACUUUUAUGCAUUGAAGAGGGAAGUGGCAGCCCACUCCAGUGUUCUUGCCUGGAGAAUCCCAGGGACGGGGGAGCCUGGUGGGCUGCUGUCUAUGGGGCCGCACAGAGUCGGACACGACUGAAGCGACUUAGCAGCAGCAGCCUAAACUGGGGUUGGCCAGGUACCGGAAAGCUAAUUUUGACCAAAAAACACUUUCUCAUUUUCUAGGCCAUCUUAGCGGCUCAGAGACGAGGAGAAGAUGUGGAGACUUCUAAGAAAUGGGCCGCCGGCCAGAACAAGCAGCAUUCGAUCACCAAGAACACGGCCAAGCUGGACCGGGAGACCGAGGAGCUGCACCACGAUCGGGUCACCCUGGAGGUCGGCAAGGUCAUCCAGCAGGGCCGGCAGAGCAAGGGGCUGACGCAGAAGGACUUGGCCACGAAAAUCAACGAGAAGCCGCAAGUCAUUGCGGACUACGAGAGUGGCCGGGCCAUUCCCAACAACCAGGUUCUGGGCAAGAUCGAGAGAGCCAUUGGCCUGAAGCUCCGGGGGAAGGACAUUGGGAAGCCGAUCGAGAAGGGGCCAAGGGCAAAAUGAACAUAAAGCCUCGAAAUCAGUGCGUUCCGGCUGAUCUCGUCCGGCUGGUCCCCUCGACCACCGGCGCCAGCACGGCUCUCUCCACGCGGCCGAGCGGAACAUGGGCGGGAGCCCCGCCCGGGAACCCCUCUCAUCGUACCUGCUGUCUAACUAACAAAACCUUGCAAAGUGUUUGCUUCUGAUUUUUUUCUUCCCUGCCCCCCGCCCUCAGUGGGGUGCAGAACACUGCCUUCCUCUCCCCCGGGGUCCAUCCCGCUGCGGGGAUGGCUCCGGGGAGCUGGCAGGGGGUGGGUGGUCACCAUCUGGGAGAGGAGCUGUAUGUCCAGCCUGGCUCGUAGAGAAGCUAAUAAAGUUUUUGCCCUUCUGCUGGUGGUGUUUCCU
RNAcentral lists this long non-coding RNA (1386 nucleotides) under Bos mutus (wild yak). Its description in RNAcentral is "lncRNA (ENSBMUG00000001091.1)". The record is from RNAcentral. Lineage: Eukaryota; Metazoa; Chordata; Mammalia; Artiodactyla; Bovidae.